AAACUUCUGGCACCAAGGGAGAUCUUUAGACACGAAGGGACCGGUUGGCGGCAUGUGAGUCUUCAUCCAUAUGUGCAAUAUUGGAGCACAACAUAGGAAAGUUCCAUCUUUCUUCUUGUGGAUUCUAAGUGUUGGCAGCAAUUUUGGUAAAACAAAGAGUGUUCACAAGAUGUUAUGUGUGAUGUCUUAACAUGAGAUAUCC
This 202-nucleotide long non-coding RNA is filed under the name Lathyrus oleraceus (garden pea). RNAcentral's name for it is "Pisum sativum (pea) long non-coding RNA (PSAT_LNC011753)". The record is from RNAcentral. Lineage: Eukaryota; Viridiplantae; Streptophyta; Magnoliopsida; Fabales; Fabaceae.